RNAcentral lists this ribosomal RNA (253 nucleotides) under uncultured bacterium. RNAcentral describes it as "partial 16S ribosomal RNA". It matches the Rfam family "Bacterial small subunit ribosomal RNA", at positions 524 to 776 of the family's 1533-position model. The record is from RNAcentral.
UACAGAGGGUGCAAGCGUUAAUCGGAAUGACUGGGCGUAAAGGGCGCGUAGGCGGUUAAUUAAGCUAGAUGUGAAAGACCAAAGCUCAACUUUGGCAGUGCAUCUAUAACUGGUUGACUAGAGUAGAGUAGAGGGAAGUGGAAUUUCCGGAGUAGCGGUGAAAUGCGUAGAUAUCGGAAAGAACAUUUGUGGCGAAGGCGGCUUUCUGGACUCAUACUGACGCUGAGGCGCGAAAGCGUGGGGAGCAAACAGG